Molecule: ribosomal RNA, 528 nt
Filed under: uncultured Actinomycetes bacterium
Lineage: Bacteria; Bacillati; Actinomycetota; Actinomycetes
Description: bacterial SSU rRNA
Rfam family: Bacterial small subunit ribosomal RNA
Source: RNAcentral
UGAGGAAUAUUGCACAAUGGGCGAAAGCCUGAUGCAGCGACGCCGCGUGGGGGAUGAAGGCUCUCGGGUUGUAAACCCCUUUCAGCAGGGACGAAAAUGACGGUACCUGCAGAAGAAGCCCCGGCCAACUACGUGCCAGCAGCCGCGGUAACACGUAGGGGGCAAGCGUUGUCCGGAUUUAUUGGGCGUAAAGAGCUCGUAGGCGGUUCGAUAAGCCGGGUGUGAAAACUCUGGGCUCAACUCAGAGACGCCACCCGAUACUGUCGUGACUUGAGUCUGGUAGGGGAGUGUGGAAUUCCCGGUGUAGCGGUGAAAUGCGCAGAUAUCGGGAGGAACACCAGUGGCGAAGGCGGCACUCUGGGCCAGUACUGACGCUGAGGAGCGAAAGCGUGGGGAGCGAACAGGAUUAGAUACCCUGGUAGUCCACGCCGUAAACGUUGGGCACUAGGUGUGGGUCCUAACCAACGGGAUCCGUGCCGCAGCUAACGCAUUAAGUGCCCCGCCUGGGGAGUACGGCCGCAAGGCUAA